CUCUUUAGCUCGCAGCCGACCCCGGGUAACCUAGGUCCGCCGCCGUCCAGAGAGAGCGCACAACUAUCUCCUCCUCGAUCCUUCCCACCGCCGCCUCCAUGUUGCUCUGUGUUGGUCGAAUCGAAGGGGAGAGUAGAUGAGAGAUGAGAAACAGACGAUGAAGGGAUGACGAGUCGAGCUCAAACAAGGCGCACAGGACGCCGUCGGCCGCCCCUCGACUUCGGCGAUGUUCGAAGGCCACGUUUGGAAUGGUGGGAGGCUGCGCAGUUGGUGCAGAACUAUGGGGGAUUUUCGGGUGUCAGCUGUCACGCGUAAAGAUGCAUGGACUUUCAGUCUAACUUGUAGCGUCGGAUUUUAUUUGAAGGGUAAGAAAUCUGAUAUUUUUCAGGGGCUCAAGCUUUGCUGUAGAGUUCUCAACCUAUAUAUGAAAACAUAUUGUUACUCUUGGAGGUGGUCAUCAAUAUUUCACUGCUUGGACCCUUGAUGCCAAUCUUGAAGAGUUGAUCAUAGAUGUCAUUGCAUUGCAGCUGGAAUGUAAGGUUGGAUUCUUAGUGGAGGCAGAUGAGCUACAACUAAGGCACCUUUUCUUAGACCUUCUGAGUUUGAUUUUUUUUUUUAAGAUGGUUGCACAUAUAAAUGGUUGCUUUAAUCUGAGAAGUGAUUGUAUUUAAAAAAUGAUCUUAAUUCUUUGUGUUCCGAGUCAUGGUGUGAAACAAUCCUGAACAAUACUACGGACCUCAAUAUCGAGAAUAUUUAUAAGUUGUAUGUGAUGUGUGUAUUUACUGUAGGUGUUUGGUGACGAGAGAUGCGAUGAACAUUCUGAACACAUUACUUGCGAAAAAAAUUGGUUCUUAUGAGGGAUGAACAAUUCUUUGGCAUAUCUGAAAUUUCGAUGGCAAAGUGGCACCGGAGUGUCUUAUUUCUGCACCUUCAGGAGGAAUAUCCUGACACAGAAAUGAAUCUAGCUGGACAUAUUUGCAUGCUCGAACAGCUUCUGCGGAAGGAAAAGGAAAAGCUGGCAAGCGAGCUAAUGGAAAUUGCAAGAGAAAAAACAGAAAAUAAAAGGCAGCAAGAGGAACAUUAGCAAACGCCAAAAGCCAGAGUGACAGCAAUCAAGUCACCAGAUAUGAUAGUGGUCCUUUUAAAGAAACGCUGUUCUGCCUUCCCCUGGGUCUCUGAGCAGAAGCAAGCAGGAGGACAACGAGCAGCGCUCUUCUAUCAUUUAAUUUGUUGCAGGUACAAUCGCCAAGUCCUUGGGACUGGAUCUGGGUUUUUCUGGUUCCAGAAUUCCUUGGCAAAGAAUUCCCAAUGAUUGCUAGCCAGGAUAGCUCAGUGGAAUGUCAUAUCCUAUCCAAUAUCCAAAUAUAUGUUAAUAUGGUCGCUUGGGUUCCACGCUUAUGUUUUCUUAAUGAUUCAUGCCAUGCUACUGCCGGCUAUUAUCGUUGUUGUAUAUAUCCUUCAGCUUCUUUAGGUGGUAAAUCCAUAUGUGGAAAUGUAAGCAGACUGUUGCCGUAGUUGUUCCCACAGUCUUAAUGCAUUUCCUAUCUGAUCAAAUGGCAUGUAUAUAGUGUGUAUAAAGCCUGCAAAGGAGAAAUGAUUAUUGACCAUGUCUAGAGUAUGCUUGAUUGUGGGUCUUUUACAAAUUUGGAUAACUUGUUGCUGAUAAUUCAGUAUGAUGUUAAGAACUUC
Long non-coding RNA from Aegilops tauschii subsp. strangulata, 1689 nucleotides. RefSeq lists it as uncharacterized. The record is from RefSeq and is a predicted model, not a curated record. Lineage: Eukaryota; Viridiplantae; Streptophyta; Magnoliopsida; Poales; Poaceae.